UCUGGAGGCGUGUGUCUGCAUGUGGACAAGAACCAUGUCUCAGUGGAGUUCUGCACAAAAUGUGCAGAGAGUGCAAGCACAUCGCUUAAAAUUUUCUUCUAGGUAAUGGUUGAUCUACCAAGCGAGAUGAGUGGCUUUCUGAACACCUUUACCUGCUUGACUCCAUGUGGAUUCUGCUGGUGGAAGUUGAAGAGGCUGGACAAGCUGCUGUCAACGUGGCCUGGUAUUUUUGUAAAGGUAGUAUCGGUAACGAAUGGUAUAUGUGAUCUUAUUUCACCAAUACUCCACAGUAUCUUUAGCUCUUUGUCAUCGCAGCUCAUUUGUUGGAGUUAACUGCAGCUGCUCCAUUAAUCGGAGUAAAGCUAUAUGAGAGGCAUACGUCUCCUUAUCUCUGGUCUAUACUGACACAUUGGAAUGUAUUCACUAAUACAUCCACAGUGAGCUAUUGUAGGCGGUGAAACGCCAGUACUGAUGAAGUGUGUUAACAUGUUAAUGUGUAUAUAAUUUGGAUUACAUAAUGUUUGAGACAUGGGAAAUGUUGAACAAAUAAAUGAUAUUUUGAUUAUGUUUCAUUUACAAAUAUCUACUGUGUUUUCUUCUGUGCUUUUGAUAUUAAUGCAUCUCUUUUUCUCUUUCUAAACAGCAAGCUCUCUGCCGAUAAAGAUCUUACUUUUCCUGAACAUUUGGGUCAAGUCUGGUAAAGGUUCUCAAAACAAAUACCAAGACCUCAUUUGGAAGUUACAAAGCACACAGUAUGAGCAAGGGCCUUCAGGGAUGAAGCUGUGCAUCCCGCUGUCGCAUGUUUUAGCCCAUUUACUUCAAAUCCAAUUCACCUCUUUUCAUACGUUUCGUUAAAAUCUAAAACCUCUUUGUCCUCGAUUCAGUAUGCGACCUCAUUUCCCUCCGCUUACCGUUUUCUUUGUUCUGCUGUCAUUGUGGUAGUGCAGUUGGAGAAUGUUCCUAUGAUUAUAUUUAUAAAAUGUCACAAUAGCUGUCUUGUCCAAGAAGUGCAAUAUGACAAUAAUGAACUUCUUACAUAAGAAGUGGGUGAAAUCACAGUAAUAGUGUCAGAAAGGAUGCACAUUAUUAACUUUAAAGCUGCAUCGUCUUUGUCUUGCAAUGUCUUUUUUUUUUUUUUUUUUGCAUCAAUGGGCAAAUAUUGCAUAAUUUCACUAUUGUCACAACUUGUAAUCCAAGUUGUCUGACGAAAUAUGAUUUCAUUUCAUCCCUGUGGGAUGUAGAAAAUAUACAAUCAGUCUUUGCAGAAUUUGGUUACUCACUAUUGUGUCCGGUCCAGUAGGAAGCUUCUAACAGGCAUGAACUGUUUUAUUCCCUGAGCUGAAAUGAAACAUUCAAUUUUACGAUGGUUUGUGCAUCUUUCUCAGCUCUUCACUGAAUGUGGAACACAGUUUUCUUUGGCGUCAGACAGUCACGUCUCUGGGAUUUCCACUCGAAACACCUGAACCUGAAACUUUUUAGUGUGCUGUUGACUGCACUGCCACACAGAUAAUACAGUACAGCUUAACACAAGUUGAGUUUGAUGCUGCACUUAAACAUAGGCAACUAUAAAAAACUGACAAAAUGGUUUGUCUUGGUGAAGGAGUAGCCUGCUGUGGAGGAUAUGUAGUACAUGGGUUAAAACCUGCACAGUACAGCAGUUAGAUGCAGAAAUUAAAUUUCAAACCAUGUCUUGUACCGAAGAUCACCUGACAAAGUAUAGUAAAAUUUAUAAGCUCAGAAAUAAAGCUCUUGUAUGAAGACUUAAGACAGACAGCUGACACUUGAUCCUCUAAUGGAUCUUAUGCGGGACUGAAUAAGAGAUCAAAUUAGUUUAUCAAGAUGUUACUUUGAAAACGGCUAAAACACCAACAUUGUGAAUUGAGAUGAAUCCUUUGGAGGCAUUUGUUACUCAAUGUUUUUACUUGUAAUAUUUUAACUGAAAAUGUUUUUCUCCAGUUACAUAGUUUUAGUGAAAGUACCUGAAGAUCAUGUUUGUUUUCAGUUCACAUCACCAGAAAACAACAAUGGUCUGAAGUCAUCCAGAACCAAGGAGGGGGGGAAAAAAAGAAAGUUGUCCUUUAGUUUUCCAAUCAUAUCACCCAGAUCUUGCUAGAAGUGAGUAGUUUAUCAGCAUCCUGUAAGGGUGUGUACUGUAUAUGUUAAUAUAAGUGGAACAUAUGAGAGCUGCCUCUGAAGCAGACUGACCUUUGAGGGACUAAAAUAACAGAUUAGAAUAUUAUAUUUAUGUAGAAUUACCUCUAGAUUCUUAGGUGCCUUAUUAAUAAACAUGCACACUAAAUGCAUUUGGGGGCAUAAUGUGGGUGCAAAAUAUGUAGCAUAAAAGUAAUUGAAUGUGAUAACUAUAAUUAAAAUGUAUUUUUCACAGGACAUGUAGUAAUCUGACAUAUUUUGAAAGUAAGUGCAAGAGAUGAAGUGAUCAGUAAAGAACAUUUCUAAUAAAACAGGCACAAGGGACUUAAUAUUAAUCAAUUAGUGGAACUACGAAAAAAUGUGUGAAUUACAUUGUACUGUCGCCAUAUUCCUGUUUUCUGCUCCUGUUAAAUGGACCAGAACCACUGUUUGCAUUAGUUCGAAGGCGUGCUAGGUUAAGAGUAAUAAUCCAGAGUGUGUGGAUUUUCAAGUGUUUUUGGCUGCAAAUACAGACCAUUCUUAUAACUGAAUAAAAAUGUAAGACCUGAAAACUAAUAAAUUCAGCCCCGUCACUGGUGGACGUAGACAGAGGCCUAUUCAGGUCCAGGUAAUCGGCAUAAACCCAAGUGUACUACCAAGUACCAUUUGAUUAUACAGCCAUAGAUUUAGGUCAGUAUUUGAACAAAUAAGCAUUAGAGCUGUCCUGUUAUGUGUGAAUGCUGACAAAACACCUGCAGCCCUGUUUAUGUAAGAGCCAUUUCGUCAUACAGUUGGAUUUAAUCUGUCCAGGGGAUGUUUCUGACCUUGAACACAACCUGAUCCAGGGUUCAUGGAUUUAUUCACAUAUCUGAUCUUAGACGUGGAGUGUUUUAUGGAGUAACUGAGGUUUCCAACAGGACAUUAAAACAUCUCUGUGACCUUCAGUCUGUAGUCCUCAAAAUGUGUCUUUGGAUGAGGAGGAUUACAUAACCUGGUUCGGUUAGAGGAGUGGUCCAGGUCCAGACGCCACCUUGUGGAGAAUGCACCAAAAUCAUCUGAAAACGACUUGUCUCCUUGUGAAUUCAGGUGUACAAAUGAACACAGGGUCCAAGACAUGUUUACAGCAGAGGAUUUCAGUGCUCAGUAUAAGCAAGCACCUAAAAAUAGUGUGAAGUCAGUGUAAAGCUGCUGGUGUUGCAGUUUGUCAAUCACUGAACAUCCCAAACAUCUAACAAUAGACACAUCUCCCAUAACUGAACAAUAUUUCACAUGAGCCAGAUUUGUAGAGCAAUAACUUAAUACUCCAAAUUAAUUUAUCACUGUCACCGCUAUAGUUUAAAUCCACUAUUGAAAUGGAUGCUCUAUCUCCCAGAACUCUUUAACACAAACACAUGACUCCACACUCACCUUCAUAAACUACAAAAGUCUAUUUCAGUGCCAAAGCUUUCAGUCAAAACCAUUUAACCUGAAGUCAAAUGCGCAGACACUUCACAACAGUCACUACACAAUGGUGAGAUUAAUUCACUAUAGGAAAAACCUGUGAAGAUGAGCUAUAAGUUUGCAUUUGUUCUGGGAAAACUGGAGCAUCAACUUCAAGAAAUGUCUGAACUUGAGAAAAACUUUACAUUUCUGUCAGAUGAUGAAUAAGUACUCGAAAAGUACAGAUAAAAACAUAAUAUACAGGGAUUAGAAGUAUUUUACUUUUGUUUCAGCUGCAUAUUGUUACUUACCG
Molecule: long non-coding RNA, 3862 nt
Organism: Sphaeramia orbicularis (orbiculate cardinalfish)
Lineage: Eukaryota; Metazoa; Chordata; Actinopteri; Kurtiformes; Apogonidae
Source: Ensembl